UACGUAGGGUGCGAGCGUUGUCCGGAUUUAUUGGGCGUAAAGAGCUCGUAGGCGGUUUGUCGCGUCGGCCGUGAAAUCUCCACGCUUAACGUGGAGCGUGCGGUCGAUACGGGCAGACUUGAGUUCGGUAGGGGAGACUGGAAUUCCUGGUGUAGCGGUGAAAUGCGCAGAUAUCAGGAGGAAUACCGGUAGCGAAGGCGGGUCUCUGGGCCGAUACUGACGCUGAGGAGCGAAAGCGUGGGGAGCGAACAGG
RNAcentral lists this ribosomal RNA (253 nucleotides) under uncultured bacterium. RNAcentral's name for it is "partial 16S ribosomal RNA". It matches the Rfam family "Bacterial small subunit ribosomal RNA", at positions 524 to 776 of the family's 1533-position model. The record is from RNAcentral.